This is a long non-coding RNA of Passer domesticus (house sparrow), 2248 nucleotides long. RefSeq lists it as uncharacterized. The transcript is spliced from 2 exons. NCBI's taxonomy places the organism in Eukaryota, Metazoa, Chordata, Aves, Passeriformes, Passeridae. The record is from RefSeq and is a predicted model, not a curated record.
CCACACUGGAUUACAACCUGCCUUCACAUAAGAGAUGUUGAAGCUUUCAAUGAGGUCACGCCAGACUCUGACAAGCACUGAUGGAAUCUUAUUCAAGGGUGAAAUACAAUGUCUCAGAGAUAGGUGACUGCAGAAUUGCUGAAGAGCAAGGCCACAGUUUCACAACUGUUUUAUGGAUUAUAAGAAUAGUGCCUGGAAGCAAGUUUACAACAAUGUAAGAUGUUGUUUUACCUAUAAAAUCUAUAAAACAGGAGAUCAAGAUCCAGAUAAGGUCAACAGCAGAGCUGUUCAUUGCAGAUCACUGGAAAAGCCACCAUACUAAUAUGGAAUCUAGGGAUGCUCAAAGAGUUCCCCAGCUGUUGUCCAGCACUUCCAGUCAUCCUCUCCAGCACACUCUUCCAGAGGCUACAUCCCUGUAGCACGGUCAGCUGGUGUCAAUACACAUCCCCACAGCAGCCAGUCCAGGACAAAGGCCAGGGCAGUCACAGCACUGUCAGGCUGGGGUCUGAGCUGAGGUGGCCAGCACUAACCCAGCAGGGUCAGGCACAGAACACUCUUCUGCUGACUCAGCUAUGAGGGAAAACCUGUGGAGAAGGAUUAGAUCAGACAACAGCAACUUCUUGAACCACCACGGUGAAAUUCUCCAUGGAAGCUUUGGAAAUGUGGCAAAAAGGACACAGAAAACCAUGGAACAAGUGAGGUAUGGGGAAUAAGUGCAUGAUAGCAGAAAAAAAGUUUCUUCAUCUUGGCUAAACUACUGGACAGCCAGGAAAAAGAAACAAUAAUAAAGGGAAGAGACAAAGUAAAUCUAAAAGAAAUCCUGCAGAUGGAGAACAAAGAAAUUAAAUGCUGCUGUAUUUUCAUUGCUGUGAAGCUAAAUUAAGCUUCCUAAGUCAAGCAGAGAAAUAAUUGGUUUAGAUUUCUAUUCAGAAGACAGCAUGAGCAGCAAGUGCCAGUGGAACAACUAACAAAAGGUAUCUUCCCUCAGAAAAAGCAAGCCAGCAGAUUGCAUAACUGAAAUGAGUUUCCUCCCAGUUUCACAUUAUUAGUCACCUUUCUCCCUUCUCUGCCAAAGGCCUCCUCUUACCCAUCCAUCCAAGGACCAGAUCCAAGGCCUUUCCUGUGCUGCUUCUUUCCAUCAGUCACUCUUCAAGAUCAAGGACCCCAUAACAGUGGUCCUUGUAUCCACUGCAGGGAUUCUGAACCAAUGACAGAGUAAAACCCCUUCAGUUCUACUGUUGGGAAAAAGUCUGAGAUACUUGAACAGACUCUCCUUGUACUCAGCUGUCACGGCCUAAAAAAACAGUUAGUUCCAAAAUUCUGAAAAGAUUUCAAAGGAAAUUUAUUGCAAAGACCCAUCGAGGAGCCCUGACUAGCAGAAGACAUGGUACCUAGAGUCCCUUGGAAACCUGUUUGACUCAGGUGGAAAUGACCUACUGGCAUUUAUUUGUAAUUGCCCAGCAUGGCAGUGGUUGGGGAAGGAAAAGCUGUUGAGUCACACUGCAAGCCACUUUUCCACUUUUGUCUGGUUUCCCAGAGGGCAGAGUCAGAAGGCUGAGAUUCUGCCUCUGACAUUUGCUUCCCACAUGACCUUGGCAAGUACUUCUUCUUGUGCCACCAUUUCCUAAUAGCUAAAACCACUCAACUCAUGGAACAAUCAUAAGUACACAGCAAGGAGCAUCUAAUAAAAGGUAAGAGAAGAGUGAAGUAUUAUAAUUGUUGUCAUAGAAUACAAAAGCAGUUACGUAAUAAUGUCAGUAUUGCUUCAUUUUUGUCCUUACAACAUGAACUGUCAGAGGGACACUGCCUGACACGGUCUCUUCAUCCCAGUGGAUGUACCCAAGCAUUUACAUCACUGAUACAAAACCAGAUUGCUGUAAUCUGGAAGACUCUACCUUGUUUAUUUUGACCAGCCUUUCUCUAGAACAUGUUUUUCCUGUAUAACCUCAUAACCCAUAAUAAUGGCCCAAACUGCACUAUAGGAAUGAUGGCAGGUUUCAUGUGCCAGUAAAAUCAAAACAAUUCCUCACUUGUGCAUUGCACAACUAGUCACCCACUAAAACACACAAGUGCUUAUCUUCUCUGCAAGCAGAAAACAGGCUGAAAGUUAGUUCCUAAAUUAGUACAUCAUACAUACAAAGAACACUUUCUAAAAAUCUCAAUGGCAUGAAAGAAUUAAACUGGAUAAAUUACAUUCUGCUUGUAUGAUAACAAGUUUCUAAGAAAAAGCACUGAUAACUGCUGUUCA